RNAcentral lists this ribosomal RNA (501 nucleotides) under uncultured bacterium. Its description in RNAcentral is "bacterial SSU rRNA". It matches the Rfam family "Bacterial small subunit ribosomal RNA", at positions 28 to 523 of the family's 1533-position model. The record is from RNAcentral.
GACGAACGCUGGCGGCGUGGAUUAGGCAUGCAAGUCGAACGGUAUCAUCCUUUCGGGGGUGAGAGAGUGGCGAACUGGUGAGUAACACGUAGGUUAUCUACCCUCAAGACGGGGACAACCCAGGGAAACUUGGGCUAAUACCGGAUGUGAGCAACUUUUAGUUGUUUGAAAGGUGGCGUAAGCUGUCGCUUGGGGAUGAGCCUGCGUCCUAUUAGUUAGUUGGUGAGGUAACGGCUCACCUAGGCAAUGAUAGGUAGGCGGCCUUAACGGGUGGUCGCCCACACUGGGAUUGAGAUACGGCCCAGACUCCUACGGGAGCAGCAGUCGAGAAUAGUCUACAAUGGUCGGAAGACUGAUAGUGCGACGCCGCGUGAACGAUGAAUCCCUUCGGGGUUAAAGUUCUUUUAUAUGUGAGCAGUGCUUCUUAUAUUAACAGUAUGGGGAGAGAGAUAUUAGCAUAUGAAUAAGCAACGGCUAAACUCCGUGCCAGCAGCCGGGUAA